This 697-nucleotide ribosomal RNA is filed under the name uncultured Methanosaeta sp. RNAcentral's name for it is "bacterial SSU rRNA". It matches the Rfam family "Archaeal small subunit ribosomal RNA", at positions 1 to 705 of the family's 1478-position model. The record is from RNAcentral. Lineage: Archaea; Methanobacteriati; Methanobacteriota; Methanomicrobia; Methanotrichales; Methanotrichaceae.
UCUGGUUGAUCCCGCCGGAGGUUACUGCUAUCGAGGUUCGACUAAGCCAUGCGAGUCGAAUGUAGCAAUACAUGGCGUACUGCUCAGUAACACGUGGAUAACCUACCCUUGAGACGGGGAUAAACCCGGGAAACUGGGUAUAAUACCCGAUAGAUCUCGACUGCUGGAAUGCAUCGAGCUUGAAAGCUCCGGCGCUCAAGGAUGGGUCUGCGGCCUAUCAGGUAGUAGUGGGUGUAGCGUACCUACUAGCCUACGACGGGUACGGGUUGUGAGAGCAAGAGCCCGGAGAUGGAUUCUGAGACACGAAUCCAGGCCCUACGGGGUGCAGCAGGCGCGAAAACUUUACAAUGCUGGAAACAGCGAUAAGGGGACCUCGAGUGCCAGGUUACAAAUCUGGCUGUCGUGAUGCCUAAAAAGCAUUGCAUAGCAAGGGCCGGGCAAGACCGGUGCCAGCCGCCGCGGUAACACCGGCGGCUCGAGUGGUAACCGUUAUUAUUGGGUCUAAAGGGUCUGUAGCCGGCCGGAUAAGUCUCUUGGGAAAUCUGGCAGCUUAACUGUCAGGCUUUCAGGAGAUACUGUCUGGCUCGAGGCCGGGAGAGGUGAGAGGUACUUCAGGGGUAGGGGUGAAAUCUUGUAAUCCUUGAAGGACCACCAGUGGCGAAGGCGUCUCACCAGAACGGACCUGACGGCAAGGGAC